This 716-nucleotide long non-coding RNA is filed under the name Physcomitrium patens. RNAcentral describes it as "long non-coding RNA (PPAT_LNC007674)". Lineage: Eukaryota; Viridiplantae; Streptophyta; Bryopsida; Funariales; Funariaceae. The record is from RNAcentral.
GGUCCUAAAAAUCCAAUAGGAUUAUAGAGAAUUUACAAUUAAACGUUAACAAUCAUAAUCACAUAUUAAACAAGGUCAAUUAAAUUUUAUUGAAAUUAUAAAAGAAACUUAAAGAAAUCCUAAAGAAAUAUAAGAAAAUAUUAAAGAAAAUUUAGUCAAACCGUAACAAAAAUCUAAUAGAACCUUAAAUUCUAACCAAAUCCUAAUCUUAAUCCAACCUUAAUCAAACCCUAGAUAAACCCUAAAACCUGAAUCAAAUCCUAAUCAAACCUUAAUCCCUAAUCAAAUCUUAAUCCAAAUCCUAAAUCCUAAAUCAAACCCUAAUCCAAAUCCUGAACCCGAAACCAAAUCCUAUCCAAAUCUUAAAUCCUAAAUCAAAUCCUAAUCCAAACCCUAAAUCCUAAAUCAAACCCUAAACCCUAAAUAAAACCCUAAUCAAAUAUUAAUCCUUAACCAAAUCCUAAUCCAAAUCCUAAAUCCUAAAUCAAAUCCUAAAUCCUAAAUAAAAUCCUAAUCAAAUAUUAAUCCCUAAACAAACCCUAAUCCAAAUCCUAAAUUCUAAACUAAAUCCUAAUCAAAUCUUAAUCCCUAAUCAAAUCCUUAUCCAAAUCCUAAAUCCUAAACAAAAUCCUAAUCCACACCCUAAACCAAAUCCUAAUCCAAAUCAUAAUUCCUAAAUUCUAAACCAAAUCCUGUCCAAAUCCUAAAUCCCAAAC